This is a long non-coding RNA of Dioscorea cayenensis subsp. rotundata (Guinea yam), 429 nucleotides long. RefSeq lists it as uncharacterized. NCBI's taxonomy places the organism in Eukaryota, Viridiplantae, Streptophyta, Magnoliopsida, Dioscoreales, Dioscoreaceae. The record is from RefSeq and is a predicted model, not a curated record. The transcript is spliced from 3 exons.
GAAGAGGGCGCAAACUCAUCUGAGAAGUAAUUGCGGUUCUUCAUGCAAGGCAAUUCUAUUUCAACUGCACAACUCCACAUCGGUCUCGACAAGAGUUGUGUAGAACAAAAACACCACUCCAACAGAGCAUUGGCCAUUCACAAGCAAGGACAAUGGGAGAUCAAUCUGGGUGCCCAGUCCUUGCACACCCAAAGCGCCAAGGCAGGGACCUCGCCCUUCUCAUCACCAUCAUAUGGACAUCAAGCAAGUUGUAGUUGUUCUCUUCCCAAGCUCAUUAACUUCAAGAUGCGCAAUGAUGCCACCAAGUUUACCAAGACCAGUCUUAAAGGCCAUGGCUUCCAACAGAGUCUUGUUCUAUGAGGAUGAGUUAUGCAAUGCGGUUACCCAGAAUAAACUCUGUUAGACUGUGUUCUGUUUAUUGGAAAAUAG